GUGCUCACUUCAGCAGCACACAGACUAAAAUUGGAAUGAUAAAGAGAUUAGCUUGGCCCUUGUGCAAGGAUGACACGAAAAUUCGUGAAGUGUACCAUAUUUUU
This 104-nucleotide small nuclear RNA is filed under the name Catagonus wagneri (Chacoan peccary). Lineage: Eukaryota; Metazoa; Chordata; Mammalia; Artiodactyla; Tayassuidae. The record is from RNAcentral.